Molecule: microRNA precursor, 145 nt
Organism: Gossypium arboreum
Lineage: Eukaryota; Viridiplantae; Streptophyta; Magnoliopsida; Malvales; Malvaceae
Rfam family: MIR7502 microRNA precursor family
Source: Rfam
UAUUAAAAGUUUUAUUUAUUUGUGUUGUCAAAAAGUGACGUGACUAACAUAAGAAUCAAACAAUGACACAUGGUAUGUCAUAUGUACUUCAUGCUGAUAUACAAUAAUCAAUUUUUAACAGUGGAAAUGAAUGAAAUUUUUAACA